This 231-nucleotide unclassified non-coding RNA is filed under the name fungal sp. RNAcentral describes it as "partial internal transcribed spacer region". The stretch from base 1 to 46 matches the Rfam family "Eukaryotic small subunit ribosomal RNA", at positions 1786 to 1831 of the family's 1831-position model. The record is from RNAcentral. Lineage: Eukaryota; Fungi.
AAGUCGUAACAAGGUAACCGUAGGUGAACCUGCGGUUGGAUCAUUAUUGAUACAACGGUCUUGGAGUCCUCUUCGGAGUUGAUUCCUCGACCUUACCCACCCCAUGUGCACUGUAAAUGUUUUUUGGGACUAUUACCUAGUAGUAGUCCCAGCAGUAUAUAACUCUAUUUAAUUUGUCUGAAAUGAAACCAAGAAUCGUAACAACUUUUGACAACGGAUCUCUUGGCUCUC